Molecule: ribosomal RNA, 404 nt
Filed under: Actinomycetes bacterium
Lineage: Bacteria; Bacillati; Actinomycetota; Actinomycetes
Description: Actinobacteria bacterium partial 16S ribosomal RNA
Rfam family: Bacterial small subunit ribosomal RNA
Source: RNAcentral
UGGGGAAUAUUGGACAAUGGGCGCAAGCCUGAUCCAGCCAUGCCGCGUGAGUGAUGAAGGCCUUAGGGUUGUAAAGCUCUUUUGUCCGGGAAGAUAAUGACUGUACCGGAAGAAUAAGCUCCGGCUAACUUCGUGCCAGCAGCCGCGGUAAUACGAAGGGGGCUAGCGUUGCUCGGAAUCACUGGGCGUAAAGGGCGCGUAGGCGGACUCUUAAGUCGGGGGUGAAAGCCCAGGGCUCAACCCUGGAAUUGCCUUCGAUACUGAGAGUCUUGAGUUCGGAAGAGGUUGGUGGAACUGCGAGUGUAGAGGUGAAAUUCGUAGAUAUUCGCAAGAACACCAGUGGCGAAGGCGGCCAACUGGUCCGAUACUGACGCUGAGGCGCGAAAGCGUGGGGAGCAAACAGG